CACACAUUACAUCAUCAAUCCAGCUAAAGAAGUGACUCACAGGGUGACCAGACGUCCUCUUUCUGAGACCUAAAUAAUGUGUCCGGGAUUUUGCUUCGUCGGAUAUUUGUGUUUCUGAGUCUUUCACAAACUAGUUAUUCCGCCCUCACAAGUGGUGUAAAUGGUGUCUCCCUUACGCUCCACCUUCCUGCGCGAGCUCUGACUGUAGAGAGAACAGUCAUUGGUCGACCGAUCGCCAUGUUGCCAGAUACACGAUAAUUAUCCUCCACAUACGACCAUUUUGAGCCUUUGGUACGAUACUUGACCAUUUCCAAUGUGGCAACACUGAGCACCUUGCCGCCUCCACUAGUUGCUUUGUUUACAGCACAUGACAUCUGCAUCUCUUCUUUUAAUAUGUGGCCGUAUAAAAGAAUUGAUUAUUUAGAAUUUUGUUAUCAUCAUUGCUUUAAUAAAUGGACCAGACACAUUAAAGAAGCGCUGGACUAAAUGCCAGAAGAGAGAUUUGUUUUACAUUUGCACUUUGCAGUUUUGUUAAAGUUCAAUAAAUAGAUGUUCAUAUAGUCAUGUGUGACCUUUGUAUGCAGUCACAAUGUCAUGGUGCGGCAUGCUAUACAUUUUCUGAGGUCCCUGUUGGGAAAAGUCCUUUUCUUUGUCCUGUUAAUAAAAAGAUGAAUGUUACAUGUGAGCAGCCUAAAUAAACAACGGCGUGAUGUUUGGAGCAUUCAGGACACCUCGAGGUUUACAAGUUGCUCUCCUGCUGCUUGUUGUGACCGUUUACAUCACCACACAAUCACGUUCACACGCACAAACACAAACGAAUACUUGCUUUCAACAUGUAGAGCUCAAGAGAGUGAGUUCUUAAUUGCACCACAUGUCAUUAACAUACAAGUCUCACAUUGGACAUGAGCUUUUCUUCAGCGCUGGAUUCUCUUCCUGAGCUGCUUGGUUGUCGCUUUGUGACUCUUCUGUCGCUAACUUGGGGACAAAGAGGACGUCUGUGCAGCCAUAGAUAUUAUAUAUAAAGGCUAGAUGUCUUUGGUUUGUUAUAAACAUCAGAGAUGUAGGAGCGGAUUUCAACAUGCAUCUGGUACCUAUUUUAGAACAUUAUUCUAUUUGUUAGAACGUAAC
Gasterosteus aculeatus aculeatus (three-spined stickleback) is the source of this 1128-nucleotide long non-coding RNA. Lineage: Eukaryota; Metazoa; Chordata; Actinopteri; Perciformes; Gasterosteidae. The record is from Ensembl.